AGCAGCCGCGGUAAUUCCAGCUCCAAUAGCGUAUAUUAAAGUUGUUGCAGUUAAAAAGCUCGUAGUUGAAUUUCGGGGUCAGUAGGUCGGUCGUGCCACUGGUAUGAACUGGUUUUACUGAUUCCUCCCUCUUGAAGAACUAUAAUGUCAUUAAUUUGGUGUUGUAGGGAAUCAGGACUGUUACUUUGAAAAAAUUAGAGUGUUUAAAGCAGGCUUUAGCUUGAAUACAUUAGCAUGGAAUAAUGAAAUAGGACGUUUGAUCCUAUUUUGUUGGUUUCUAGGAUUGACGUAAUGAUUAAUAGGGAUAGUUGGGGGCAUUAGUAUUCAAUUGUCAGAGGUGAAAUUCUUGGAUUUAUUGAAGACUAACUACUGCGAAAGCAUUUGCCAAGGAUGUUUUCAUUAAUCAAGACGAAAGUUAGGGGAUCGAAGACGAUCAGAUACCGUCGUAGUCUUAACCAUAAACUAUGCCGACUAGGGAUCGGAUGAUGUUAAUUUUUUUAAUGUACUCAUUCGGCGCCUU
RNAcentral lists this ribosomal RNA (520 nucleotides) under uncultured Glomus. RNAcentral's name for it is "SSU rRNA". It matches the Rfam family "Eukaryotic small subunit ribosomal RNA", at positions 569 to 1089 of the family's 1831-position model. Lineage: Eukaryota; Fungi; Glomeromycota; Glomeromycetes; Glomerales; Glomeraceae. The record is from RNAcentral.